UUUGUAAUUAGGAAAACAACAAAGAUUAAAACCAAGAGAAAAAAAACAAAUUUAUUUUAGGUGGCAGGCAGUCAGGCCUUGCCUGGCCAUAUCACUUAUCAGAUGUGUGGUUGUGCAACCUGACUACCAGGUUUCAACUCCUGAGAUAUUGCUGUUAAACUCAGGUACAAAAUCUUUCCCACAAGCCCAGCCUGAGGGCUCAUCCUUAUUCACUGCAGUUUCUCUUGAUUUCUUUUUGACCCUCUACUGCCACUGCUGAUCUCUGGCCAUCCUCUUCCUGUCUCCUUGUCCAGCUGGGCCAGGUGGGCAUCUCUGUAACUAUUAAGAUUCCUAAUUCUGUUUUUCUCUUCUCUAGCUUGGCUUGACCCCCUGGGAUUGACAUUACAUCAGACUUUCUAAUAAAACUCCACUCCUUUUUCCUAGAUAAACAGACUUCUGGCAUUUUCAUGCAUGAUUCAUAACUUUAUGUAAAUGCUCUGGCAAGCUGGAUGAAUGGACAUGAUCCAAUAAAGAUAUUGAGCCUGAGAAUAAAACGCAGUAAAAGAGUGUUGAGAGCACAGAACUCCUCUGAAGUGGAAGGAUCCUUCUCACAGGAUGAAACCAUGUCUCACAUACUCCAGUAUUCUCAAAAGCCUAAUAUAGAACUGAGCAUGUACCAGAGCCUCAAUAUAUCUUUAUUUUUGUAAAUUAAAAAUUUAUACCGAUAUAUAAUGCAUAAGUGUGCC
Molecule: long non-coding RNA, 725 nt
Filed under: Sus scrofa (pig)
Lineage: Eukaryota; Metazoa; Chordata; Mammalia; Artiodactyla; Suidae
Description: lncRNA (ENSSSCG00070013762.1)
Source: RNAcentral